Herpailurus yagouaroundi (jaguarundi) is the source of this 1876-nucleotide long non-coding RNA. RefSeq lists it as uncharacterized. The transcript is spliced from 2 exons. The record is from RefSeq and is a predicted model, not a curated record. Lineage: Eukaryota; Metazoa; Chordata; Mammalia; Carnivora; Felidae.
UUAAGAGUCAGAUGCUCAUCAGACUGAGCCAUGCAAACACCCUGAGGUUUAUUUUAUUCUAUUAUAAUUUAAACAGUACCAGAUCUGAAUAUCAGAGUGUCUCAAUACUGGUUUUGCCUUAGACUUUCAUGGAAAGGGGUGAACAUGUGGCAUUUUGGAGAUUUACAGUAGGGGUUGUUUUGCAAGCAGAAGUCUCAAGAUACCUGAAUAGGAAAUGUUUUUCUCUAUAGUUAGUAAGUUUCAAGGAGGCAAAGAAUACUAAUCUUAGCUAAUCAAUAAUGAGACAAAAGGUGGGAAACUGAAGGGUCUGUGUCUGGCCUUGUCAGCAGGUUUGGGCAAAAGAGAAAGGUCUGUGUUUGUUGGCUUUGUCAAACAUAAUCUGUCUGAAAACACUAUUAAGGAUUAGAGUAAUUUGUGUGGAAUUUUGGUGAAAGUUCAUUGAAAUAGUCAACAAAGUCAGCCUUUCUUGUUGGCUCUGUUCUUGGAGAAAGCGCUGAACCAUCCGUUGUGCUCUGACAGUGGUUUAGAACUGAGAAGGGUUCUAGAGACAAGUAUUUAAUCAGGGGAUACAUACAGGAAUAAGCAGAAAGAAUAUUAUUAGAAAUUAUAUGAAGGAGUAAAACCAAGACUUGAGAUCAGUCUAGUGGAUUCCAGAAUAUUAGUGUGGUAGAGUCCGUUGACAGUGGGGUCAGCACUGCAGUGACAAUGGGGUGCAUUUCUUCAUUAGCAACUUGAACUAUAUUUAUGAUGUAGAAGUCAGAGAAAUUUGGGGGAACACAUAUGCAGCAGUCACUUUCAAACAGCACAUGUCUCGCCUAUGGAUGCGAAGAUCAGACCAAGGGCCACUCAGUUGUGGAGCACUGUGUGUUGAGUCUUUUGAAAUUCUUGGACAAGAAGUUCAAUGUUCUUCAUCACACUAUUUGUAGUGAUGGCUAUCUCCUGUAGUCGGACAUGGAAGAUGUGAGAGUUUUGACUCCCUUCUUGAGUAGCCCAUAGUGGAGAUGCUCUAGGCAAAAACGUGGCUCAAAUGUGGUCAGAUACAAGAGCCAAGUCCUUGAGAUCUCCUACCAAGCUCUCAGCUUCCCUUGCAAGGGUGUCAUCAGGUCCAACAGAGAAAGGAAGACUAUAUUAACAUUUUGAUUCACAUUUUCAGGAAACACAGUUACUGGUAGACUGUUAAGAUCAAUGAUAGUCAUUGAAGAGGACAAAGAGGAAUUUAAAUACUUUAAGAAAGCCGUUAGACUACAUAUCCGGUAAGGACUGACAAGACUGGCUAGGUUAUGAGCCUGUCCAGUAUGCUAGGGUCUACUUCCAUAAAUGAAAUAAGGUGUCUUUUGGAAUAACCAAGGAAAAUGGGGCAAUUUUUUUUUUUUUUUUUUUUUUUUUGCCAUAAUGUCAUCCUUUCUACCAUAUAGAAGCUGAGAAAAAGGUAUAGCUUUAAGGAGAAUAUCAUAUCCCGACUGGGACUUUUCCAUAUGUAAAACUUUUUGCCCCCCCCCCCCAUGGCAGCACCCAUGGUGGAGUUGAUUUUAGGUUGCAUUUUCUUUGGGAAACGAUGAAUAGUUACAAGUACUGUCAUUAGAGUUGGCAGAGUAAAAGAUGUACAAUUGACUCUUGAACAACACAGGAGAAUGGGGUGCCAACCCCCUGCACAGUUGACAAUCCACAUGUAAUUUUGACCCUCCCAAAAACUUAGUUACUGAUAGCCUACUGUUGACCAGAAGUCUUACCAAUAACCUAAACAAUUGAUUAAUACUUAUUUUGUGUGUUAUAUGUAUUAUAGACAGUGUAUUUAUAAUAAAGUAAGCUAGAGAAAAGGAAAUGUUGUUAAGAAAAUUGUAAGGUACAGAAAAUACAUUUAUAGCUCUGUACUGUA